RNAcentral lists this ribosomal RNA (474 nucleotides) under uncultured bacterium. RNAcentral describes it as "bacterial SSU rRNA". It matches the Rfam family "Bacterial small subunit ribosomal RNA", at positions 335 to 794 of the family's 1533-position model. The record is from RNAcentral.
ACUCCUACGGGAGGCAGCAGUGGGGAAUAUUGCACAAUGGGGAAAGCCCUGAUGCAGCCAUGCCGCGUGUGUGAAGAAGGCCUUCGGGUUGUAAAGCACUUUCAGCGAGGAGGAAAGGGUGUAAGUUAAUACCUUACAUCUGUGACGUUACUCGCAGAAGAAGCACCGGCUAACUCCGUGCCAGCAGCCGCGGUAAUACGGAGGGUGCGAGCGUUAAUCGGAAUUACUGGGCGUAAAGCGUGCGCAGGCGGUUUGUUAAGCGAGAUGUGAAAGCCCCGGGCUGCAACCUGGGAAGCCGCAUUUCGAACUUGGCAACUAGAGUCAUUGUAGUAGGGGGUGGAGAAAUUCCAGGUGUAGCGGUGAAAUGCGUAGAGAUCUGGAGGAAUACCGGUGGCGAAGGCGGCCCCUCGGACAAAGACUGACGCUCAGGCACGAAAGCGUGGGGAGCAAACAGGAUUAGAUACCCUGGUAGGU